This 148-nucleotide ribosomal RNA is filed under the name Ochrophyta sp. RNAcentral's name for it is "partial small subunit ribosomal RNA". It matches the Rfam family "Eukaryotic small subunit ribosomal RNA", at positions 1296 to 1461 of the family's 1831-position model. The record is from RNAcentral.
AGUUGGUGGAGUGAUUUGUCUGGUUAAUUCCGUUAACGAACGAGACCCCUGCCUGCUAAAUAAUCCGCCGAAUGCUUUUUGCAUUGGGUAGGGUUUCUUAGAGGGACGUCCAAGAUCAACUUGGAGGAGGAUAGGGGCAAUAACAGGU